Molecule: ribosomal RNA, 327 nt
Filed under: uncultured eukaryote
Lineage: Eukaryota
Description: partial 18S ribosomal RNA
Rfam family: Eukaryotic small subunit ribosomal RNA
Source: RNAcentral
CCCUUAGAGGUUCUGGGCCGCACGCGCGCUACACUGACGAAUGCAACGAGCUUAUAACCUUGGCCGAAAGGUCUGGGUAAUCUCCAAAUUUCGUCGUGAUGGGGAUAGAUUAUUGCAAUUAUUAAUCUUCAACGAGGAAUGCCUAGUAAGCGCAAGUCAUCAGCUUGCGUUGAUUACGUCCCUGCCCUUUGUACACACCGCCCGUCGCUCCUACCGAUUGAAUGGUCCGGUGAAGCGUUCGGACCGUGGCCUUUGGACGGUUCGCCGUCUGUUGGCUGCGGGAAGUUCGUUAAACCUUAUCAUUUAGAGGAAGGAGAAGUCGUAACA